UGAGCACUGGGUGUUGUACGGAAACCAAUUUGACAAUAAAUUUCAUAUAUUAAAAAAAAAAAUGAAAUGAGUGCCAUGGGGUCCAGGAAAAUGACUUCUUAAUGAGUAGGUUAGGAAUUCUUCCAGAUUACAAUGGGACUUGUGUAGGGUGACAGUGUUAUGCGUGCUUCUUUCUCUCCGUUUCCCCCACUUUUACCUGUUGUUGCAUGGCUCUCCCAUCAUUAUGAAAUUGCAGAGAACGAAGUUUGAGUGUGUGUCCAAGAAGGCAGGCGGUGCCUCAGUGCUGACCAGGACCUUGUCCAACCCAGCCUUCUCCUUUGGAAGGGGAAGGAGCUCUAAGUUGCAGUUCGGACCCUGAGCCUUAUGAAUCUUAGGGCUGUGAUAGGAACGGCGAACACUUUAGACGGAGCUGGCCCACAGACGCAGCACAACAGAGCCUCCCCCUGCAUGGAGGUGUCUCACAUUUUGACUUCAGCUUGCUAGAAUUCUCCAGCAUUCUGGAUACAAGUGCCGGAGCUGCAGAAUCCUGGGCUGCCUGGGCACUGGUGGCACGGGAACAAUCAGGAACGUCAGUGGUCCCUGAGAAACCUGUACAGGGAGUACUGCAAAAAUGAGGAUUGUAAACCCUCUCAGGCUCAGAGCUGGUGAAAAGCCACUCGAGGUUGCUGCUGUGCUGAACCUGUCGGACUGGACGGGAGAAUUCUGAGGGCCGUGUGGAGCUCGUUCACUACCAGGUAGACACAGGCAGUGUUACGUCACAGCUGAAACCCACCUGCGCGGCCAGCUGGCCAGGGAGGAAGGCACAGGUGUAGGUGAACGCUGGCAGCGCUCCAAGCAUGCCCUCUGGGGCCCUUCCGCUACCUCACACACAGGCGCCUGGCACGGUGGAAAGUGCCUGUGCCCAAGGACCAGGACACCUGCGUUUCCGCCUGCCCUUCUUCUGGGCUCCGUGAAUCCGAGCCAGUCACCCAGUCUCCCAGCUUAGAAAGAAGAAACAGGGAUGCCCGUUCCCUCCCCCUUCUCCGCAACGUCUCCAAGAACAUAGAAACGACCUGACCUGGCGUGCUUCCUGCUUCUGAAGGAGUGGCUGUGCGCUUUUAACGGGUUUUACCAUCAUCUGUGUGAACACAGCAAGGAUGUGAGAGAGAAAGCCAUUCUCCUGGCUCAGAUGCAGCCUUUCUUCCAUUACUCCUAUAGACACUGCCGCUGUGGGAGUUACUUCAAAGCAAGGGUGACAGAAUGUCUAGCUUCUGCCCCCGCCACCCGGGGCUCACGCAGCUUAGGCCUGUCAGGCCAGCCCGUCCUCCCGGUCAGCCCUGAAGCCCGCUGAGGUCACGGUUCCAGCUGCUACAGCCGUGGGGUUUUACCUCCGGAUAAUACCUCAUUCGCCGUACCGUGUUCAGCACAUAAUAAUGGAUGGGUGUAUGAAUUUAAUUGCCAGAAUUUUAGAGCUAAAAUAAUUAAUAAUAAUAGCAGUAAACCUGCUGUGUGUGCCAAGCAUGAUCCUGAGCACAUCUCACUUCGUUCCCACAACAACCCUGGGAGGCACAUGCUACAAUUAUUCUCUGUGAAGAGGAGCAAACAGACUCAGACAAAUUCAACAACUUUCUCUCCAUCACCAGAUCAUAAGCGGCAGAGCUAGGACUCAGGUCCAAGUGGUUUUGACUCCAGAAAUUAGAUCUUGGACCACAUCCUGGGAACUUCCUCCUAUUAUAUGCUCCUCGAAUACAAUAUGCUCCUAUACACAAUACACUCAUGUUAUUUUUAAGUAUUUAAAAAAA
Lynx canadensis (Canada lynx) is the source of this 1781-nucleotide long non-coding RNA. RefSeq lists it as uncharacterized. The transcript has 2 exons. The record is from RefSeq and is a predicted model, not a curated record. NCBI's taxonomy places the organism in Eukaryota, Metazoa, Chordata, Mammalia, Carnivora, Felidae.